This 77-nucleotide transfer RNA is filed under the name Ensifer meliloti. Its description in RNAcentral is "Sinorhizobium meliloti tRNA-Met". Lineage: Bacteria; Pseudomonadati; Pseudomonadota; Alphaproteobacteria; Hyphomicrobiales; Rhizobiaceae. The record is from RNAcentral.
CCCGGCGUAGAGCAGCCCGGUAGUUCGCGUGGCUCAUAACCACGAAAGACCGGGUUCGAUACCUGGGCCUGCAACCA